RNAcentral lists this transfer RNA (87 nucleotides) under Nitrospiraceae bacterium. RNAcentral describes it as "tRNA-Leu". It matches the Rfam family "tRNA". Rfam says of the family: Transfer RNA (tRNA) molecules are approximately 80 nucleotides in length. Their secondary structure includes four short double-helical elements and three loops (D, anti-codon, and T loops). Further hydrogen bonds mediate the characteristic L-shaped molecular structure. tRNAs have two regions of fundamental functional importance: the anti-codon, which is responsible for specific mRNA codon recognition, and the 3' end, to which the tRNAs corresponding amino acid is attached (by aminoacyl-tRNA synthetases). tRNAs cope with the degeneracy of the genetic code in two manners: having more than one tRNA (with a specific anti-codon) for a particular amino acid; and 'wobble' base-pairing, i.e. permitting non-standard base-pairing at the 3rd anti-codon position. Lineage: Bacteria; Pseudomonadati; Nitrospirota; Nitrospiria; Nitrospirales; Nitrospiraceae. The record is from RNAcentral.
GCCGGAGUGGCGGAAUUGGCAGACGCAAGGGACUUAAAAUCCCUCGGGGGCAACCCCGUACCGGUUCGAUCCCGGUCUUCGGUACCA